GCUAGUGAGGGGGAUUGAAGCUGCUUUCCCAGGAUCUGGCCUUUCCGAGGACCCUUGGGGAAGUUUGACAGGUGCACAAGAAGGGCAUCUCAGGCCGAGAGAGUGCAUGGAGGGGAGAGAGCUUGACGUGGGUACCCAACGAUGACUGCUCCAGUGGAGUGUGGCUUUCAGGAAACCAAGUGGUUGGGGGCCAACUUGGAAGGUUGUGCAAGACAGGAGUGUGAGGACCCCUGAAUGUCAUGCUAAGGAGUUUGGAUUCUAUCCCACAGAGAUGGAGAGAGUGCAUUCACAAUGAUCAAGGUCAUCUGAGUGAAAAUUAUUUUGUAGACAGGUAUCUGCAGGACAGCCAGUGGAAAGAACAGGAUUUGGAGGGAUGAUUAUACUGUUUCUGACCAGAAAUUCAACCUUUUAAGAGGCCUCACUACAAGUUUUCCACUACCUAUGUUUGUUCAGGAGAAUUUCCCUCUACAUUUGUUCCAUCAGUGUUCAAAGAAAAGACUUGGGAGAACCAGUGACAUUGAAACGAAAUGACAGUCCUAGGGCACCUGGGUGGCUCAGUGGUUGAGCAUCUGCCUUUGGCUCAGGGAGCCUGCUUCUCCCUCUGCCUCCGUCUCGGCCUCUCUCUGUGUCUCUCUUGAAUAAAUAAAUAAAUAAUCUUAAAAAAAAAAAAGAAAAGAAAAAGAAACGGAAGUCCUGGCAGCUAGCCCACGCCUAAGCUCCCUGGAUGGUGCACGUUUUCUGGAACAUGCUCAGGGGAUGGAGUCUGAAAGCAGCAGAGGAUCCAUGACUUAAGGGCACCAAGGAAUCACUGUACACUGUGAAGAGCCCAGGGUGCAGUAUUUGAAACAUUAAACAUUAUCUGGUAGUCUUUCAGAAUCAGAAGCUUUACUUUCGGGUCAUUUAAUCUACUCUCUUUUCCUCAGGAAGUCACUCAACAUCUGUUUGUUCUAUAUUGUGACUUACUCUGUCAGAAUGAGGAUGGGCCAGUAGAAGCACAAAAAUUAAAACAUGCACUUUCUCAAGGCCACAGCCUUUCAGCUCAUUCCUGGUUCUCUGUGAAAACCUCAAGUCCUUGCCAUUCUCUUGUUUUGCGUCGGGAGUUGCAUUAACAGAGAGAUGAGAAAGAGAGAAAGGAACAGAACAGGCUGAUCUUGGCUUUGUAGCUGCCAGCUACUUUAUGGGCUGCUGUUUUCUGGCAGAUGGAUCACGGGCUCUGUCUUAAGAUGAACUGUCUUUGUGCCUCUCUGAGCUUCACAUCUUUGCUCCAAAGAGAAAUAAAGGCUGAACACAAAAUAUGUAGAAAUUUGGAUUUGGGAAGCAUUACUGAGAAUGCCACAGUGGAAGCCUGGGCAUUACUGAGACUUUUUCAGUUACAGACACUUCCAGAGACAUUCCAUCUUUUGACCUUCAACUCAUCCCUUCAGGAGGAUUGCACAGGUGUUGUUGGCCACCCCAUUCGGGUAUGGAAAGUUUAAAGCCAGCCAAUCAGUGAUGGGCCAGGACAUGGGGGUCAAGACCAUUAGUUCCCACAUUAAGCAGCUUUACCAGCAUAUCCAGCUGGAAUUUCAGAGGCACAGAGUGAUAUGCCGACAGUCACAUACAGUUCCCAUUUCUAUAUAUGAAAACUCAAAAUUUUAAGAAAACAAAACAAGUAGCCAAGUCACAGAGCAGAAACUUGUUGGGCCCGUAAAUCAAAAUAAUCUUCACACCAAGGUAGCCCAUCUUGAGGUGGUCUGCCCUUGGCGCCUACAGGUUCAAUAAUGUGGCAACGGGACAAACUCUUCCUGAUCCUUCACUCUGCUGUCCCCAGUGUCUCUCUACCUGUGACGCUCAGGAUUUAUGUAAGUGGUUUGCUAAGGCUCUACACUUCCACAUCGGUCCAGUAGAGCUGCCCCCUGAAGCCUCUGUAAGCAGUGAUAUGAUCCUUCCUGGAAGUCUCUACUCAAAUCUGAUGAGCCUCAACUGCAUCGUGACCCUGGUCCUCAACCUACUGUUGCCAGAAUUCUGUUUCCAGGAAAGAUGGGCCACAUGGCAGCAAACAAGCAAGAAAAGAGCAGGUGGAGAACUGCUUUACACCCCGACGUACAGCUGAUCCUUGAACAACAUGGGUGUGAACUGCACCGGUCCACUUAUACUCAGAUUUGUUAUGAUAA
This is a long non-coding RNA of Canis lupus familiaris (dog), 2153 nucleotides long. RefSeq lists it as uncharacterized. The transcript is spliced from 6 exons. Lineage: Eukaryota; Metazoa; Chordata; Mammalia; Carnivora; Canidae. The record is from RefSeq and is a predicted model, not a curated record.